GACGAACGCUGGCGGCGUGCCUGACACAUGCAAGUCGGACGGUUCUUGCACCUUCAAGCUUGCUUGCUGGUGCAAGGAUAGUGGCGGACGGGUGAGUAACGCGUGAACAUCUACCCAUUGGAGGGGGACAACCCGUCGAAAGGCGGGCUAAUACCGCGUAAGCCGCGAGGUGAGAGGCUGCCUAUUGGUGGCCGCCGAUGGAUGGGUUCGCGUCCUAUCAGCUGGUUGGUGGGGUAACGGCCUACCAAGGCGAAGACGGGUAGCCGGUCUGAGAGGAUGGCCGGCCACACUGGAACUGAGACACGGUCCAGACUCCUACGGGAGGCAGCAGUGGGGAAUAUUGGGCAAUGGGGGUAACCCUGACCCAGCGACGCCGCGUGAGGGACGAAGGUUUUCGGAUCGUAAACCUCUGUUGUACGGGAAGAAGGAAUUGACGGUACCGUACGAGUAAGCCCCGGCAAACUACGUG
Molecule: ribosomal RNA, 469 nt
Filed under: uncultured bacterium
Lineage: Bacteria
Description: bacterial SSU rRNA
Rfam family: Bacterial small subunit ribosomal RNA
Source: RNAcentral